UACGUAGGGUGCGAGCGUUGUCCGGAAUUAUUGGGCGUAAAGAGCUCGUAGGCGGUUUGUCACGUCUGCUGUGAAAUCCCGAGGCUCAACCUCGGGCCUGCAGUGGGUACGGGCAGACUGGAGUGCGGUAGGGGAGAAUGGAAUUCCUGGUGUAGCGGUGGAAUGCGCAGAUAUCAGGAGGAACACCGAUGGCGAAGGCGGUUCUCUGGGCCGUAACUGACGCUGAGGAGCGAAAGCGUGGGGAGCGAACAGG
This 253-nucleotide ribosomal RNA is filed under the name uncultured bacterium. RNAcentral describes it as "partial 16S ribosomal RNA". It matches the Rfam family "Bacterial small subunit ribosomal RNA", at positions 524 to 776 of the family's 1533-position model. The record is from RNAcentral.